RNAcentral lists this ribosomal RNA (761 nucleotides) under uncultured bacterium. RNAcentral's name for it is "bacterial SSU rRNA". It matches the Rfam family "Bacterial small subunit ribosomal RNA", at positions 771 to 1532 of the family's 1533-position model. The record is from RNAcentral.
AACAGGAUUAGAUACCCUGGUAGUCCACGCUGUAAACGAUGUCGAUUUGGAGGUUGUGCCCUUGAGGCGUGGCUUCCGGAGCUAACGCGUUAAAUCGACCGCCUGGGGAGUACGGCCGCAAGGUUAAAACUCAAAUGAAUUGACGGGGGCCCGCACAAGCGGUGGAGCAUGUGGUUUAAUUCGAUGCAACGCGAAGAACCUUACCUACUCUUGACAUCCAGAGAACUUUCCAGAGAUGGAUUGGUGCCUUCGGGAACUCUGAGACAGGUGCUGCAUGGCUGUCGUCAGCUCGUGUUGUGAAAUGUUGGGUUAAGUCCCGCAACGAGCGCAACCCUUAUCCUUUGUUGCCAGCGGUUCGGCCGGGAACUCAAAGGAGACUGCCAGUGAUAAACUGGAGGAAGGUGGGGAUGACGUCAAGUCAUCAUGGCCCUUACGAGUAGGGCUACACACGUGCUUCAAUGGCGUAUACAAAGAGAAGCGACCUCGCGAGAGCAAGCGGACCUCAUAAAGUACGUCGUAGUCCGGAUUGGAGUCUGCAACUCGACUCCAUGAAGUCGGAAUCGCUAGUAAUCGUAGAUCAGAAUGCUACGGUGAAUACGUUCCCGGGCCUUGUACACACCGCCCGUCACACCAUGGGAGUGGGUUGCAAAAGAAGUAGGUAGCUUAACCUUCGGGAGGGCGCUUACCACUUUGUGAUUCAUGACUGGGGUGAAGUCGUAACAAGGUAACCGUAGGGGAACCUGCGGCUGGAUCACCUCCUU